This 300-nucleotide ribosomal RNA is filed under the name Triticum aestivum (bread wheat). RNAcentral's name for it is "partial small subunit ribosomal RNA". Lineage: Eukaryota; Viridiplantae; Streptophyta; Magnoliopsida; Poales; Poaceae. The record is from RNAcentral.
AUGGCAGAAGCUAUUGCAGUGCAUUUUGGCUUGAAUCUUGCCCGAACUGCUGGUUGUAACAAGAUUGAAUUGAACUUGGACAGUUUGGAGGCCAUUUCAGCACUAAAAGAUGGCUUUUCAUCAUCGGUGGCCAGCGCCAUAUCCGACGACUGUUACUACAUGUCUUUAGACUUCACCCAUAUUUUGUUUGAACAUUGUUAUAGAAAGAACAACCUAGUAGCCCAUGAAUUAGCUAGGAUAGCAAAAUUUUCUCCUCCAAGUGUACGGUUGGAUGAUCCCCCAGGGAUGUUGUCCCGCUGA